GACGAACGCUGGCGGCGUGCUUAACACAUGCAAGUCGAACGGAAAGGCCCUGCUUUUGUGGGGUGCUCGAGUGGCGAACGGGUGAGUAACACGCGAGUAACCUGCCCUUGACUUUGGGAUAACUUCAGGAAACUGCGGCUAAUACCGGAUAGGAUCUCCUGCUGCAUGGUGGUGGUUGGAAAGUUUCGGCGGUUGGGGAUGGACUCGCGGCUUAUCAGCUUGUUGGUGGGGUAGUGGCUUACCAAGGCUUUGACGGGUAGCCGGCCUGAGAGGGUGACCGGCCACAUGGGGACUGAGAUACGGACCAGACUCGUACGGGAGGCAGCAGUGGGGAAUAUUGCACAAUGGGCGGAAGCCUGAUGCAGCAGCGCCGCGUGCGGGAUGACGGCCUUCGGGUUAUAAACCGCUUUCGCCUGUGACGAAGCGUGAGUGACGGUAAUGGGUAAAGAAGCACCGGCUAACUACGUG
This 468-nucleotide ribosomal RNA is filed under the name uncultured bacterium. Its description in RNAcentral is "partial 16S ribosomal RNA". It matches the Rfam family "Bacterial small subunit ribosomal RNA", at positions 28 to 507 of the family's 1533-position model. The record is from RNAcentral.